GGGGCUGACUUGGAUUUCGACAGAUUUCUUGUCGCACAGAUAGCAUGCCAAGCGCUGCUUGUAAAACAGCAACAAAAAUAACUGUAAACAACGCAGAUUACGCUCCAGCUUACGCUAAAGCUGCGUGAGUUAAUCUCCUUUUGGAGCUGGACUGAUUGAAAUUUCUAGCGUUUUAAUCACUCCAUAACCUUAAGCUAGACGCUUUUAAAAGGUGGUUCGCCUUUUAAACUAAGAACAAGAACUCUUGAAACUAUCUCAAGGUUUUAGAAAGUUGGACCAGAGCUAGUUUUAAGGCUAAAAAACUAACCAAUUUUCUAAGCAUUGUAGAAGUUUGUGUUUAGGACAAGAUUUUUGGACUGGGGUUCGAUUCCCCACAGCUCCACCA
RNAcentral lists this transfer-messenger RNA (385 nucleotides) under Helicobacter pylori. RNAcentral's name for it is "Standard tmRNA". It matches the Rfam family "transfer-messenger RNA". From Rfam's summary of the family: Bacterial tmRNA, also known as 10Sa RNA or SsrA, is named for its dual tRNA and mRNA-like properties. Its role is to liberate the mRNA from a stalled ribosome. Lineage: Bacteria; Pseudomonadati; Campylobacterota; Epsilonproteobacteria; Campylobacterales; Helicobacteraceae. The record is from RNAcentral.